This 479-nucleotide ribosomal RNA is filed under the name uncultured organism. RNAcentral's name for it is "partial 16S ribosomal RNA". It matches the Rfam family "Bacterial small subunit ribosomal RNA", at positions 331 to 801 of the family's 1533-position model. The record is from RNAcentral.
GUACACUCCUACGGGAGGCAGCAGUGGGGAAUUUUGGACAAUGGGCGAAAGCCUGAUCCAGCAAUGCCGCGUGAGUGAAGAAGGCCUUCGGGUUGUAAAGCUCUUUUGUCAGGGAAGAAACGGUGAGAGCUAAUAUCUUUUGCUAAUGACGGUACCUGAAGAAUAAGCACCGGCUAACUACGUGCCAGCAGCCGCGGUAAUACGUAGGGUGCAAGCGUUAAUCGGAAUUACUGGGCGUAAAGCGUGCGCAGGCGGUUUUGUAAGUCUGAUGUGAAAUCCCCGGGCUCAACCUGGGAAUUGCAUUGGAGACUGCAAGGCUAGAAUCUGGCAGAGGGGGGUAGAAUUCCACGUGUAGCAGUGAAAUGCGUAGAUAUGUGGAGGAACACCGAUGGCGAAGGCAGCCCCCUGGGUCAAGAUUGACGCUCAUGCACGAAAGCGUGGGGAGCAAACAGGAUUAGAAACCCGAGUAGUCCCAUGAU